GGAAAAUAGUCACUGGCAAUGAUGACCUCUGUUGAGUUGAUGCUACAGCAACACCAGCUUCAGGGAAACUCCUGAAUUACAUCAAAGUGGAACGUGACUCCAAGCAAUUACCAUAUCAUGAGGAGGCCCAGGAAGCCGAGGCAGAGAUUCUCAUGGUGAGGAACUGAAGUCUGCCAGGACAAGUGAGCUUGAAAAUGGAUCUUCUGAGCCAGGCACAUAAGUGAGCUGGGAAGUGGGAUUCUUCCACCCCAGUUGAGCCUUCCAAUGAUUGCAUCCUCAGAAAAUAGCUUCACUUUAGCCUCAUGAGAUUAUAAACUAGAACCAUCCUCUUUAGCUUCUCCUAAAUUCCCAGCCCACAGAAACUGUGAAAUAAUAAAUGUUCAUUGUUUUAA
Molecule: non-coding RNA, 392 nt
Organism: Microcebus murinus (gray mouse lemur)
Lineage: Eukaryota; Metazoa; Chordata; Mammalia; Primates; Cheirogaleidae
Source: RefSeq, a predicted model, not a curated record